Molecule: non-coding RNA, 21 nt
Filed under: Arabidopsis thaliana (thale cress)
Lineage: Eukaryota; Viridiplantae; Streptophyta; Magnoliopsida; Brassicales; Brassicaceae
Source: RNAcentral
UGAUAACAUUAUGGAGAGUCA